Molecule: ribosomal RNA, 224 nt
Filed under: uncultured bacterium
Lineage: Bacteria
Description: partial 16S ribosomal RNA
Source: RNAcentral
ACGUCGCGCGAUGAGUNAUGAACGUGCGUUUCGGGUCGUNAAAACUCUGUUGUUAGGGAAGAACAAGUGCUAGUUGAAUAAGCUGGCACCUUGACGGUACCUAAACCAGAAAAGCCCACGGNUAACUACGUUGCCAUGCAAGCCCGCGGUGGUAAAUUAACGUAGGGUAUGCCAAUGCGUUUAGUCCGGGAACUUACAUUGGGGCGGUAAAGCGGCGCGCAAGG